AACGAACGCGGGCGGCAUGCCUAACACAUGCAAGUCGAACGAGACCUUCGGGUCUAGUGGCGCACGGGUGCGUAACGCGUGGGAACCUGCCCUUAGGUUCGGAAUAACUCCCCGAAAGGGGUGCUAAUACCGGAUAAUGUCUUCGGACCAAAGAUUUAUCGCCUUUGGAUGGGCCCGCGUUGGAUUAGCUAGUUGGUAGGGUAAAAGCCUACCAAGGCGACGAUCCAUAGCUGGUCUGAGAGGAUGAUCAGCCACACUGGGACUGAGACACGGCCCAGACUCCUACGGGAGGCAGCAGUGGGGAAUAUUGGACAAUGGGCGAAAGCCUGAUCCAGCAAUGCCGCGUGAGUGAUGAAGGCCUUAGGGUUGUAAAGCUCUUUUAACCGGGAUGAUAAUGACAGUACCGGGAGAAUAAGCUCCGGCUAACUCCGUG
Molecule: ribosomal RNA, 433 nt
Filed under: uncultured bacterium
Lineage: Bacteria
Description: partial 16S ribosomal RNA
Rfam family: Bacterial small subunit ribosomal RNA
Source: RNAcentral